This 430-nucleotide ribosomal RNA is filed under the name Pseudomonadota bacterium. RNAcentral's name for it is "Proteobacteria bacterium partial 16S ribosomal RNA". It matches the Rfam family "Bacterial small subunit ribosomal RNA", at positions 355 to 776 of the family's 1533-position model. The record is from RNAcentral. Lineage: Bacteria; Pseudomonadati; Pseudomonadota.
UGGGGAAUAUUGGACAAUGGGCGAAAGCCUGAUCCAGCCAUGCCGCGUGUGUGAAGAAGGCCUUAUGGUUGUAAAGCACUUUAAGCGAGGAGGAGGGUACUGGUAUUAAUACUACCAGCUACUGGACGUUACUCGCAGAAUAAGCACCGGCUAACUCUGUGCCAGCAGCCGCGGUAAUACAGAGGGUGCAAGCGUUAAUCGGAUUUACUGGGCGUAAAGCGCGCGUAGGCGGCUAAUUAAGUCAAAUGUGAAAUCCCCGAGCUUAACUUGGGAAUUGCAUUCGAUACUGGUUAGCUAGAGUGUGGGAGAGGAUGGUAGAAUUCCAGGUGUAGCGGUGAAAUGCGUAGAGAUCUGGAGGAAUACCGAUGGCGAAGGCAGCCAUCUGGCCUAACACUGACGCUGAGGUGCGAAAGCAUGGGGAGCAAACAGG